Molecule: long non-coding RNA, 3627 nt
Organism: Equus caballus (horse)
Lineage: Eukaryota; Metazoa; Chordata; Mammalia; Perissodactyla; Equidae
Source: Ensembl
AUGUAGAGUCAGUGACGCCUGUGGAUGAUAGGGAAUGUAGAAUGUCAUCAGAUACCUGACUGUUGGCCCAUUGUUGGGAAGCCUUUGUGACAAAAUGCCCACAAUUUUCAGACUGUAGAUGGUCCAGAAAGCCAAAAUCAUGGCGUAGCUUAUUUUCAUAGGCUACAAUGAUGUGGCCAGAAUUAGCAGAUUAGACAGGAACAGCAACAAUAUAACUAGAAAAAUGUGUCACCAAGAGUGAAGCAUCAACAGUCACCCUGAGAGGAGGCUCUCAAUCCAGAGUGGUCAAUCUGUUAGCAGCGGGCAGGGUCAGUGCCCGAUAUGAGGCGGCCUCCUUCACCACGAGACCAGCUGGCCAACUUUUGGCAGAAGUCACAAGGGUGGCGUGUCCCGAGGAUCUUCUCUCACUCUGGCCAGUCUGUUGUGCGAAUGUGUUGCUAUGUGCCAUGACAGGCUGGGCAGUGCACCUUCCUCAGCAGCUUGAUCCCAGUCGGUCUUGUCAGAGAGUGGACCUUACCACGGGCAUGUACUUAGACAGUCCAUCAACUAUGGUUUGUUUCCUCAGUUUGUGGCACCAAAGAGGGGCGUCUUUAAUGUACUACUCUGUAGUCCUUCAAUUGGCAAGGGCCCGGGAGCUCAAAAAUGCAACACGGUUCAUCAGGUGGAGUGUUAGAGCUAUGGGAACAGCCUUUCCCGCCUUUGGUUCAGCAUGGCCGUGCUGAAGUUGAAGAGCAGUAGGUGUGAGUGGGCGUCAGGUUCUACCUUCACCAAACCACCAGCGGAUCAGGCCUGCACAUAUGGAGGAGCCUCUGUGAGUUCAGGGACCUAAUGAGGCAAGGGGUGGAUGGAAUAAAGCUUCCUAGGAAAAGGGGUAGUGCCACCCGUUCAUCAUGCAAACCUGAGAUGACGUAGAGCUAGCUGCUCCCCUGACCACAUUUUUUUCCAUUUGGCCGGCGAAGCCUGUCCUGUGAGUCGUAUCUCAGAGCUGAUCCUUCCCCCAGUAUGGACGUUAGGCUGGAGAGUCCUGGGGCCUCCAUGGGUAGGCGUUCCAUUUCAACAAACCUCAGUAAUGAGUUUAGAUCUGCUUUUUAAAAUGUUUGUGCCUGGUAGACAUUUCAGGGAAGUGACAAGUCCAGAAACUCAAGGGGCAUCCAUGCCCUUUUUUAACCACAGCCUCCGAUCAGCAAAAUCAUCACUCACAAAGAUUUGUAGCUCAAAGGGGUCAUAGGAUUGUGGGCACUAAGGUGGGGGGAUGCCACAGCUUCCUGAACGGCUCUCAGCACAGCCUGGUGGCUUUGGCCCUGCUGAAGGAUGCUGAGAGAGGACAAGGUAAAUGCUCAAGGGAGGCACAUGCCGCCUCCCAGACUCAGAGUCCCAGCAGGUGCCGAGCCUCUGUCUUGGCGGUGGGGCUGAAGGAGCAGCAGUCUUUCCUUGACUGCUGGAGGCACAUUGUGGACCCACCCGUAUUGUCCCAAGAAAUUUUGCUUGAUAAGCGGGGCCCCAAAUGGUGUCAGCAUUCUCAACCACUCCUGCUGGCUGAAGUGUGACAACAUCACAGUCUGGACCGUGGGGACUGAGGCUUCCGAUUUGCCAGCCAACAGGACAUCGUCUACAUAGUGACAGCUUUGGUCAUCAGGAGGCAGAGGCGCCCGCACUGGGGGUGAAGGGCAGGAGCUGUCCCACCAGCACUUCUCUACGUCUCUGUGCCUGAGCAGGAGAAUGUCCCCUGACACUCCCUGAGCAUUUACAGUGCAAGCACGCAACACGCGAGUUUCCUUAUGCAUUCAGCAGUGCCAGCUGUACCUACAAGAUGUGGGAUUGGCUCGGAGUCCUGACCUAUUAGUUUACUUUAACUUUUCAUUUUUUUGGCUCUACAAGUUGUGCUCAAAUCCUAUCAGCUGAAUUUGUUGUUCGGAACAGAGACCAAGGGGUUGAACACAUGCUGGUCAGGAGGUUCUGAGAGUUCAGGGCAAUCGGGAAGGGCGGGGUUUGGGGCGCUGAGCCUGGGGCCACAGAAUAAGUCGGGGAGGCUUUCCUUCCUCUUUUGGCUCCUCACUCCAGGGUCAGCACUACCUCCUCCCCUGUGGGCCUCCAGCAUCCACAUGGAGCCCAGGCUCAGGGUCUCUUUCUCUCUAUGCCUCACCUUCCACCCUGGCUCCAUCUCUUCUCCUGGGUACCAUAGGCCACCCCUGUACUCAGCACUCUCUCCCACUUGGGACAAGGGAGAAUGGUGACUGGGACACUUUUGUCCAACUGAGCUAGGAAAGCUUGAGUCACGCCUUUCCCUGAAGUUCCCCAGUAACCUUGGCUCGUUUCCUUAAAGCAGCGAAGGUCAGGCACAGAGGAGGGAGCCUCCCGGAGGGAUGAGAGCAGCUCCAUACCAGCAAGCAAGGCCGUGCAAUGACUUUCCCUUUUGGUGGCAUUUGCUUGGGCUCAACAAAUGAACUUGUUUUCAGCCUCCCUAAAGCUAAAUUCAUACUGCUGACACUACUUUUGUCAGCUCUGAUCAUCAGCCACAGCCACCCUGCCUUUUGGCUGAGCCCACAGACUUGCUGCCCACGGUCGUGAUAACAUUGCUUCCUCCUCCCUCUUAGAGGGAGCACAUUUAGGUGGCUUGUUUCAAUCUUACUUCUUGCCACUCAGCCUCUACACAGUCUUUGAGGAGUAGGAUGCUGAGGAACCCUUAUUGCUCCCCUUGCCUGUGACUUGGGUGAGAGCAUUCUCUACUGAAUCCCAGAGAAUCCUCUGAUACUCCCUCACCUGGCUCUCAGGGGCCCCUUGUCCUUUCUCUUCCAGAAAUCCAUUUCUCUGUUAGAUUCCUGUCCUCAUCACCAAUACUGUCAAAAACUACAAAGUGCCUAGGCUGUUAUCCUACUUGCAAGAUAAUGGGGAAGACAAUUACUAUUUAUGCUGACAUAAGACACAAGCCUCCUGGGUCAGAGACAAAUGAUUUGAUUACUCACAGCAGCAGCAGGUGCCAGCGUGUCAGCAUGGUGCUUUCAGGGCAUCCCCAUACACCCUGCCCCAUCAUCAUCGUGGGGUGAUACAAAGUGUCCAUGCGAAUAUCUGCACAGUGAAUUAUGUUACAGGAGAAGAACCCUGAAUUUGAAGGAUUCACUGAUCUUAUAUUGAGCAGAGAUAAGCCUUUUCUGUGUGCAGUGGUGGAUGUCACCUCAGCCGCCAAGGAUCCUCCCUGUAAACACGCCUGUGGGAAAUGGCAUAUGUAAAGAGCAACUUCACCUCUGCAUUCAGGGCACACCCAGCAAGAACAUGCACGGGCUCCCAGGGACCACAGGGGUGCCUCUCCCGGCAUAUACUGAAUGAUUUUAAGCCUGUGAAAUAUUUUGAAGCUUGCCAUGUGACCUAGCAUGGGGUCAAUAUGAGUAAAUAAAAUUUGACGUACAAAAUAAUGUGAAAUCUUCUGCUGAUGGCCCCCCAGUACAUCGUUGUAUAUUCUUCGUUGUGGGUCCUUCUAGUUGUGGCACACGGGACGCCGCCUCAGCGUGGCCCAACGAGCAGCGCCGUGUCUGCGCCCAGGAUUCGAACCAACAAAACACUGGGCCGCCUGCAGCGGAGUGCACGAACCCAACCACUUGGCCACGGGGCCAGCCCCUAGAUCUAUGAUCC